Molecule: ribosomal RNA, 253 nt
Filed under: uncultured bacterium
Lineage: Bacteria
Description: partial 16S ribosomal RNA
Rfam family: Bacterial small subunit ribosomal RNA
Source: RNAcentral
UACGUAGGGAGCAAGCGUUGUCCGGAAUCAUUGGGGGUAAAGCGCGCGUAGGCGGCCCGAUAAGUCCGUUGUGAAAGUCAAAGGCUCAACCUUUGAAUGCCGAUGGAUACUGUCGGGCUAGAGUCCGGAAGAGGCGAGUGGAAUUCCUGGUGUAGCGGUGGAAUGCGCAGAUAUCAGGAGGAACACCAAUAGCGAAGGCAGCUCGCUGGGACGGUGCUGACGCUAAGGCGCGAAAGCGUGGGGAGCGAACAGG